GACGAACGCUGGCGGCGUGGAUUAGGCAUGCAAGUCGAACGGUAGGAUACCUUCGGGUAUCUGAGAGUGGCGAACGGGUGAGUAACACGUAGGUGAUCUACCCUCAAGAUUGGGACAACCCAGGGAAACUUGGGCUAAUACCGGAUGAAAGCAGCAGUGAUGUUGUUUGAAAGGUGGCGUAAGCUGCCGUUUGGGGAUGAGCCUGCGCUCUAUUAGUUAGUUGGCGGGGUAAAGGCCCACCAAGGCGAUGAUAGAUAGGCGGCCUUAACGGGUGGUCGCCCACACUGGGAUUGAGAUACGGCCCAGACUCCUACGGGAGGCAGCAGUCGAGAAUAGUCUACAAUGGCCGAAAGGCUGAUAGUGCGACGCCGCGUGAACGAAGAAGCCCUUCGGGUGUAAGUUCUUUUAUAUGUGAGCAGUGCUUUCUAUGUGAACAGCAUGGGAGAGAGAUAUUAGCAUAUGAAUAAGCAACGGCUAACUCCGUGCCAGCACG
This 493-nucleotide ribosomal RNA is filed under the name uncultured bacterium. Its description in RNAcentral is "bacterial SSU rRNA". It matches the Rfam family "Bacterial small subunit ribosomal RNA", at positions 28 to 515 of the family's 1533-position model. The record is from RNAcentral.